GAUUGAAAAGAACUUUGAAGAGAGAGUCAAAAAGACCGCGAAACCGUUAGGAGGGAAACGAAUGCAGCUGAAUUGGCCCUGUUCAGGCUCAGGAGCGAUGUUGGUCAGUGAUGCCGGAUCGCAAAAGCCGAUAGGUUUUGCCCUACGGAUAGCUGCCAACUCCUCUGCAUUCCUGUGCACGGGCUGGCCAACAACAGUUACCCGUGGCUGACGAGGGCAGUUGGGUAGGUAGUCCUCCCUCGUGGAGGAAACGUAUAGCCAUCUGUCUGGUAGUCUGGGGGUGACUGAGGAAAACUUGCAGCAUAGGCCCUCUGGGUUUGGGCCGCUUCUGGUCGUUCGGGCGCCACGCGAGGGACUGCGUGCAGUGUCUAGUGAUGGUUGUCUGCUCGGGCGGGAGGUCGGUCACACCUUAUGCUGUGGUUGUUGGUGUUCAAAUGGCUGCAUCCGACCCGUCUUGAAACACGGAAA
This 468-nucleotide ribosomal RNA is filed under the name Suberites sp. incrostante LNP-2020. Its description in RNAcentral is "partial large subunit ribosomal RNA". It matches the Rfam family "Eukaryotic large subunit ribosomal RNA", at positions 364 to 664 of the family's 3401-position model. The record is from RNAcentral. Lineage: Eukaryota; Metazoa; Porifera; Demospongiae; Suberitida; Suberitidae.